AGUGUCCCCACCUGCCCUUUCCCACACACCUUGCAGGCAAGCUGUGGUGCCAUGAGACUGCCUGGUGAUGGACAGACCAGCACAGGAGACGCGUCACUGCAAGAGCCCCCCUCAUACCCUCCCGUUCAGGUCAUCCGGGCCCGAGUGUCUUCCAGCAGCUCCUCUGAGGUGUCCUCCAUCAACUCAGACCUGGAGGUACAGGGUCUGCCUGCGGGCGGGUGCAGGGGUGUGUCGCUCACCCACACUCACCCUGCCUCCUCGGGCUUGCUGUGCUCUUCUCUGAUCUUGCCAGUGAACCUCACCCUGCUGUUAAAGAAUGCGCCUCUGCACAGCUGCCAGUCUGCCUGCUGCCAGUCUGCCUGAGGAGCUUCCCAAACCAGCUCGGGACUAAGAAGAAGGCCCCAUGGUCAAUCUGGUCAGGGGAACACUGGGUUUUGGAGUCUAGUCAUCAGGGAUCGCUUGCACAUUUGAGUCUACAGAAGCAAAUGCACAAAUAAUAAACUAGUUUUUAAAGUCUCAAAAAAAUCUUAAAAGCUAGGGGUGUGGCUUGGUGGUAGCGCACUUGUCUAGCGUACACCAGAUGCACCAGGCCCUGUUCCAGCCAUUGCAAAAAAAAAGAAGAAAGCCUUUGUGCUUCCCCAGCCCAUUUGACCAUGGAAGCUUUUCUUUGUCCCAGGGAAUGUCAGCUCCUCCUGCCGUGCCAGCACACAGGUUGCACACUUUAUUUAGUACCUUUGCUUCAUUUUGUAUCUGUGAGCAAAACUCAUGUCCCAUCUUGGAUGCACAAGUCUCAUGUCUGAGUUGUCCCAUAACUAUGGUUUCUGGCCCCAUUCAACGAGGAAGUUUCCAUUUGUCUGAGGAAAAAAAGAGAAUGAGGACGAUGUGGUGGUAAUGGGCAUGUUGGCAGAAGGGGGCCAGCUGUCUCUUUUUGGUGAGGGAAGGACUGUCUUUCUUUCUGAUUUUGUGUUCUUCCAUCUUUUUUGGUGUUAAGUGCCCUUUUUGAAAUGAUGGUAAUAAUAGGUGGUAGUUAGGGUUGAGUUUUUGGUUCGGGUUUGGUUCCUACCCUACCUCACCCCACCCCCAGUACUGGGGACCAAACCCAGGGGUGCUCUGCCACUGAGUUGCAUCCCCAGCCCUUUCUAUUUUGGGACAGGGUCUUCCUAAAUUGCUGAAAAUGGCAUUGAACUUGCUUUCCUCCUGCCUCCAGAGUUCUGGAGAUUACAGAUGAGUGGUGCUACACCUAUUUGGUUUGGUUUUUAAUGGCCUCAUUUGGCAAAACAAUCAUUAUCUAUUCUAAGUUCUCAGAUUUAUCAAACUUAUACUGGACCCUGACAUCCAAAACUCAGAGCCACUGAUUUGGGAUGAAGUCCAGUUCCUUGGUGUGAUGUUCUAGCCCUUCUCCAUUUGCCCAGCCUCCUGUUCUUCCCUGCCCUCACCCAGCUCUCUGACCUGACCGUGGACUCUUCUUUGUCCCCAGGCCUUUGGGCCUCAUCUUUCUAGCCCCAUUUCCACGGUUCAUAAUCCUAUCCAGAUGCCACCUCCUGGGAGAAACCACCCCAUCUGUGGCCUCUUCCACUGAGUGCCCAGAACACACAGUCCCUUACACACCUGUACUUUGGAGUGUGCGUGGUCUGGUGAGCUGUGGAGUGACUGUCAUCUUUCUCUAUUCCUCAAUUCUGGAACACAGUGGGCAUGAAGAACUGGGUUGGUGUUAGGACUUCUGUACCCUUUGGGUCAUAUUUCUGUGUCAGUUCAUGUCAUAUAUUUCUUUUUUUUUUGUUUUUUAUUCUAAUUUGUUAUAUAUGACAGUAGGAUGCAUUACAAUUCAUAUUACACAUAUAGAGCACAAUUUUUCAUGUCUCUGGUUGUACACAAAGUAGAAUCACACCAUUCAUGUCUUCAUACAUGUACUUAGGGUAACAAUGUCCUUCUCAUUCCACAGUCUUUCCUACCCCCUCCCUUCCCCUCCCUCCCCUUGCCCUAUCUAAAGUUUUCCUUCCAGGUCCCCCCCCCCAUCCUCAUUAUGGAUCAGCAUCCUCAUAUCAGAGAAAACAUUCAGCAUUUGGCUUUUGGGGAUUGGCUUGCUUCACUUAGCAUAAUAUUCUCCAACUCCAUCCAUUUACCUGCAAAUGCCAUGAUUUUAUUCUCUUUUCAUGCUGAGUAAUGUUCCAUUGUGUAUAUAUACCGCAGUUUCUUUAUACAUUCAUCUACUGAAGGCAUCUAAGUUGGUUCCACAGUUUAGCUGUUGUGAAUUGUGCUGCUAUAAACAUUGAUGUAGCUGUGUCCCUGUAGAUGCUGUUUUUAAGUCCUUUGGGUAUAAACCAAGGAGUGGGAUACCUGGGUCCAAUGGUGGUUCCAUUUGAAGUUUUCCAAGGAAUCUCCAUACUGCUCUCCCUAUUGGUUGCACCCAUUUGCAGUCCUUCUCCCCCACAUCCUCUCCAACACUUAUUGUUGUUUGUCUUCAUAAUAGCUGCCAUUCUGACUGGAGUAGUUUUGAUUUGCAUUUCUCUAAUUGCUAGAGAUGUUGAACAUUUUUUCAUAUAUUUGUUGAUUGAUUGUAUAUCAUCUUUUCAGAAGUGUCUGUUCAGGUCCUCGGCCCAUUUAUUGAUUGGGUUAUUUGUUUUUCUGGUGUUAAGAUUUUUGAGUUCUUUAUAUAUCCUAGAGAUUAGUGCUCUAUCUGAUGUGUAUGUGGUAAGAACUUGUUCCCAAUUAGUAGGCUCUAUAUUCACCUCACUGACUGUUUCUUUUGCUGAGAAGCUUUUUAGUUUGCAUCCAUCCUAUUUGUUGAUUCCUGAUUUUAUUUCUUGUGCUAGAGGAGUCUUGUUAAGGAAGUCAGAGCCUAAUCUGACAUGAUGAGGAUUUGGGCCUACUUUUUCUUCUAUUAGGCACAGGGUUUCUGGUUUAAAUUUUAAGUCCCUGAUCCACUUUGAGUCCAUGUCAUGUAUUUCUUGGAUCCAGUCUCAGAACACGUGGGACACCCAGGGUCCACAGCGGUGUCUGCCAAGGCCUAAGGCUAAGGGAGAAGGAAUAAUCUGGACACUGAAUUCAUUAAGGAGAAGGGACAGGAAGGCUGCUGAGGGCAGGCUCGGGGGAGAGGCGGGCAGCAUUCGCUCUGUGGAAACAAGCGUGUCUUGCUGCCCACCCUCGGCUGAGGCGAGAACUGAAUAGGGAAACUGAAAAUUCCGACAUCUGUCCUUGUGGCUGGUUUGGCCAUUUCUCUGUUUUGCAGUCCUUGUUGUUUUACUCUAUUUUCUCUCCAUUUUUAUAAAUCUGUUGUUUAAAAUAUGUCAGUUCCUAGGAUACAGGGUCACACUCUUAAAUUAAGCAAGUGGAAAUGAUGCUUUUGUCCAUGGUAAAAGGAACAGUCAGAAGCCCAGUCCCCCCGGCCUCUCCCCUGCAGUCUUUCUGCUUCACACCCUAAAACAUAAAUACACUGUAGACAGGCCACCAGGGUCCUUCCUAUAAAGAGAUAACCUCACCUUAACCACACACACACUAGCGGAUCAAAUGGAAUUGUGACGCUCCCAGUAUUGAUUGUUUAGUGUGCGAGCAGGAGGCUGUGGAGCUUUCUUCGGGUGUGUGAUCCAUCAGGGCUUCUGUUUUUAAAGUAACACCGCUCACCUGUUCAGGAGGCUGAGGCGAGAGGGUCGCCUGAGCUCUUCAGUUUGAGCCUGAGCAACCGAGUGAGACCCUGUCUCUAAAUAAAGAAAUAAACGUAAUACAUGUUUUUGGUAUAAAAUUUGGAAAACAAAAAAAAGUAAAGAAGAAAAUUAAGCCCACUCAACCAAUGUGGGACUGGGCAUGAUGGAUAUGCCACCUGGGUUUUGGAAGUAGUAUUUUUGGAGAUCCUGGUUGGCUUGUGGAGAGGAGGGGCUCAGCAGAUGGUUAACAAGUCCCCCUCAGCUGGCCAUCUGCUGGCUCAUUCAGCAGAUGUGUUCUGAAGGCCCAAAUUGAAAGGGAGAAUACCUGAGGACACAUAGGCCCCAGCCUGCCCAGCCUGCUUGGUAAAUUGGCCACAAUCUGAUCCUCUGCCUCACGCACACUCCUUUUAGGAGUGUGACAAGAUGAAACUGUAGAAAUCAAUGUCAGGGCUUAGGUAUUACUUCUGUGGUUUGUGACUUCUCUUGCAGAAUUCACGUAUUUCAUGGUGUUGGACUCAGGUAACCUAGGGCAUCUCUCCCCACUCUUGCCUACCCAUGCCUCUGCCCUCUGCCCUGGACUCCACUGAGGUUGGCUUCCGUGGUCUGCCUCUUACUGACCUCCUGGGUUUCUCCUUGACCCUUUGGGUUGACAAGUGAAUGCUUCCCGACUCCCACUGUCCAGGCCCAGGGGCCUGGGAGCUAUUCUGGACUCAGAGGUGAUGUGUCCAUCCCCUAAGGUCCUUGAUCAUCUCAUAACUGACCUCUGAGGCCAGGUUUUGAUGUCAUGUUCUCGGCCGUGUGCCCCCUAUCCUGAGCACCACAUCCUGCGGUGCGCAGGGGGAGUGGGGGACAGGCGGGUCUCAGCAGCACAGCGUCUCCACACACUCAGUUCACAAAGCGUCUCCAAAUCCAUUCGCAAGGAAGUAAGGUGCUUGCCAAAGUGCUGGGCACGGGGUGGUACAGUGAAGACUCACCAGGACUUUGUAUAAGCAGCCCUGAAGCAGGAGACUAGGAGUAGAGGAGUUUAAUUAGCCACACGAAAAUGAGGAGAAUAAGGAAAGAAAGGAGAAGAGAAGGCAGAUCUGGGGUUUGAACCCAGUGUCAUCCACUCUGAAACUUCCCACGUUGCCCACUGCACUCCAGUGCCUUGAAGGGACUAGUACCCAGGGGGCUUUGCAGGCCAUGUCUGUUAUCCAUUAUUCCCAUUGAAUGUCCUAAGUAACAGAGGGUAAAACAUUGGGAUUUACAAAUAAAUCCAGGGAGGAAUGAGACAGGACCAUGGAGGGACAGCUUGGAUUGUUUUUGUCUUUCUUCAAAGAUCCCACGGGCUGGAUCGACCAGGGUACCAGAUGAAUGGUUUAAGAGCCCCAGUGAGACCAACAGCCAUGUAGAGAGGCCAUUUGCUUGGGCCCUGUAGUUUCCAGAUACCUUCCAGGAGGUGCACCCUCCGCAGACCGUAGAUCCACUCACUCAACCAUCACCCACCCGUCCAGCACAAGGGCCGCCUCGGUCCUGGCAUAGCUGUCCAAAGGGUGCACUGAACAGCUGCUGACAAAGGGUCAUUGUAACCCCAGUGGUCAGGAGUUCAAAGCCAGCCUCAAUAAAAGCAAGGCACUGAGUGACUCAGUGAAAACCUGUCUCUAAAUAAAAUACCAAAUAGGGCAGGAGAUGUGGCUCAGUGGGUGAGUGCCCCUCAGUUCAAUCCCUGGUACCCCCCGCCAAAAAAAGAAAGGGUCACUGAGCUCAUGGAGUCCGAGUCCACAAGUGGGAGGUCAAAGAAAAUAGUAGCAGGGCUUACAGGAGUGGCCUGUCACUUUCCAGGAAGCCAUCUGAGUGCAGGGCCGACCUUCCCCAGCACCGGAACUGCUAAAGAUGUGUGUGUUGUGUCCCCCUGUGCUGACCUAAAGCACGGUGAGGGUGUGAGUGUAGAGACUUGGGAAACUGCAGAGGACCCAGCACUGCUGCUCCUGUGGUGUGGCUUUCGAUGGCUUCUUAUUCUUUUCUUCUGUCUUUUAGACUGUGGGAUUCUAGAACACACAGAGUCCAGCCUUGUGACCAAAGAGUGUUUAUGGCAGUGAAUUAAUCUGUUCCUUCUGGGUUCCCAGCAAUGGCACAGGCCUUCUGUAAGCUGUGUAGGAAUUCUGUAAGGAGCUGUUUCUGUCACUGGCACAAAGUGUGCACAGCAAAGAUGUCCAGGACAGGAGCUUCUGCAGCCAUGUGUGUGUGUGUGUGUGUGUGUGUGCACAAGGGUGCACAUCGAAUGCAUGCAGCAUUGUGUGUGUGUGGCAUGAGAACAGGGCUGAACGCCAGACUGCUGUGUCGGAAGAGGGUCAAGUGUCCUCACUAAUUCUGUGCCUCAGGCUCUUGGUAACCAAGACUGCUUAUUCUGUCUCCAAACCACAUUCAGAACCAGCUGACCAGGACAGAUUCCCUUGGACAUGUGCCAUUCUUAAAGCCAAAUCAUUCUUUUAGGAGAAAAAGACAGAGAAAUGACUAUGAAAGUGCUAAGUUUAAGCCGAGAGUGGCGGCACACAGGUGUGAUCUGAUUCAGGAGGCUGACGGGAAGAUCCCAAGUUCGAGGCCAGCUUCAGCAACUUAGCAAGACUCUGUCUCAAAAUAAAAAACAAAAAGAACUGGGGGUGUAGCUCAGUGGUAGAGUACCCCUGGGUUCAAUCCCCAGUACCAGGGCAGGUUGCCAAUUUUAGAAGAAAAUUUAUGUAAGCAUGAAGAAGGAAAUUAGAACAUGCCAAGAGGCAGCAAAGGUCAGGAAUCAAGUUAAAGAUGUGGCUUCUGCCCUCCACAGGUCUUUUUCCUUCUUGGGGAGGUGAGGGCACCUGCCCUCAGAACCAGCACAACAUAGUCCAUCCUGAAACGUGUGGGGCAGCCGGUUCCCCUUGGGUGGGGAAAAGACUUCACUUGCCCCAAGGGGAACCUGGGCUGUGUAAGGGAAAGAACAGUGGCCCAGGAGUGGGGUGCAUGCAGGGGCUUGUCUGGGGCUUGGGCCUGCACAGGACUUCUCAAGUUGUAGUUUCUCCCUCUGUAAAUGGGAAUCAUGAGACCCGGCUCCCAUAUGACAGAGGGACUGGAUGGGUCCAAUGGGAGUGCUGCCAGCUCUUUGCAAGAUUACCAAGGCACCACACUUGUUGCCAUGGAAAAUGCAGAAGGCGGAGGGUCUGAGCUCAGAUACUGGCUCUGGCCUGUAUGGCUGAAGAACUGGGCACCACCCAUUCAUUUUUCAUAACCUGGUCUGGAAUGGAGAUGAUGAGCCCCAGAGGGUAAAGGAGGCUUGGCCAAAGUCAGAUGUGAAGGAGCUUUGAAAUGCAACAGAGCGCUGUCCACCCAGAGGCCAUGGUGAAACUCCAGCUUUGGACUGGGCCAUCUUCAGGGCCCACCUCGCAACAGAACCCUAAGUGGAAGGUGUAUUUUGGAAGAGGCAGGCAGAGGGUGAUUAUGUGGGUCAGUUCUUGGACAGGCUUCUCUCAGGAAAACAAAUGGGCAACUCAAAAGCAUACUCUGCCAGUGUCCUUGCUAACCUGGUUGCUGAGUCUGCUUAGCUCCACUCAGAACCCUCCCCGCCUCUGUGGUCUCUAGAGUAUUUCCAAUUCCACUGACCUGGUAGGCCUUUCCUUCCAACCCUGGGGUAUUUCCAAGGACGCUGUGUCCUCUCAAUAAAGGAGGUCUGUCCACAGGGGUCAGAACUUCACUGUCACUGAUCCUGCUCAGGAAAGACCUGUGCAGACCUGAAUGGAGAGGGAUUUGCAUGGUCAAACCAACCAGCCAUGGGAUCAUGUUUUGCCCUUGCACAGAGCACUUCAGGGCCUCUGGAACAUUUCCCUUCUUACAUCCCAGUUCUUUCCCUCUACAACAUCCCAGGAAGGAAGAGUGAGCAAGAAAUAGAGCAGGUAGGGAGGAGGAGAUACAGCCCGUUGGGGGGGGGGGGUGAAGCCCUGGGUGAUGCAGAGUACGUCCAUGGUGUUGGCUAAUUAGACAAUAUUUAUAAUUGGGUUUUAUAUAUUUAAUAAUUUGUGUUUAUGUAUAUUGUAUAAUUUGUAUAUAUUUAAUAAUUUGGGUUGUAUAUAUAUAUUUUUUUAAUUUCUUUUAGUGGUUGAUGAACCUUUGUCUUAUUCGUUUAUUUAUAUACAUGGCUGAGCAUCGAACCCAGUGCCUCACACAUGUGAGACAAGUGCUCUACCACUGAGCCCCAGCCCCAGCGCUGUAUAUUUAUAUAUACUUUAAAAGUAGGACUGGCGUGUAGUUCAGUGGCAGAACACUCACCCCGUUGGUCAUGGCCCUGAGUUCAACCUCCAGCCCACCCCCCAAUAUAAAUAAAUAAAUAAUAAAAAUAGAGAGAUGUGGUUUUUUUUUUUUUUCUGUAAUGUUUUAAAGGGACUUGGUCAAAAGGCAGUUGGUUUAAUGGAAUCUGGGAGAGCUGAAGCUGGUGUGUAGUUGGCCAUGAAAACAUUAUGACCUCUGCCAAGUCUAGCACCAUCUCCCCUCCCAGCCUUGGGGAAGGUCAUUUCUCCGCAGAUGCAGGAGGAAGGAGCUGGACAGAUGGUCUCUGAGGAUCCACCAGCUUGAAUUUAAGACAGUGACUCUUAUUUCCUCAGUGACUUAGCCACACCUCCUAUUCCUCAGGAAUGAAAGAAAUGUUGCCACACGCUGUAUAGACCAGAGCUGCAGGGUGCUGCUCCCACAAGCAUGGGAAAGUGAGCUUGUAGAGAUGAAGUGAAUUGCCCUGGGUGCUGGCCCAUGCCUGGAAUCCUAGUGGCUCAGGAGGCUGAGGCAGGAAGAUCACAAGUUCAAAGCCAGCCUCAGCAACUUAGCAAGGCCCUUAGCAACUUAGAAAGACCCUGUUUUUAAAUAAAAUAUUUUAAAAGCUUAGCUGGGGAUGUGGCUCCAUGAUUAAGUUCCCCUGGGUUCAAUCUCCAGAACACACACAAAAAGAACGAAGUGAAUUGAAAUGCCACAUGCUGUGGCUCACAGAGACGAUGGUCCUGGACACAAGUUAAGAAUAUGUGGAGCCAGCUGGAGCAGUCCCAGCUACUCUGGAGGCAGGAAGACAACUUAAAGCCCAGAAGCUGGAGGCCAUCCUGGGCAACAAAGCAAGGACCCAGCUCAGGAAAAAAGGAGAGAGAGAGAGAGAGAGAGAGAGAGAGAGAGAGAGAGAGAGAGAGAGAGAGAAUGUGGAAAUGCUUGUUAUAUAUAGUGGGAGAAAAACUAUGUGAAUAAUUUAAUUAUAUUUCAUUAGAAAUAUAUAUUAUUAUAUAUGUUUCAGAGGUCUGUUUAGUAACAGUUCAUAGAAGUGCUGUUUUAGGGAUAGAAUUAUGGAACUUGUGUUUUUUGAAAAUUUAUCUAUGAUAAACACAUUUUUGCUUUUUUUUUUUUUUGGUUCUGGGAGUGAACUUGAGAUGUGGCGGAGGGAGCACUGAACCGCUGAAUAACAUCCCCAGCCUUUUUAGUUUUUAUUUUGAGAUGUGGCCUUGCAGAGUUACUGAGGCUGGCCUCAAACUUGUGAUCCUCUUGCCCCAAUCUUCCAAGUAGCAGGGAUUACAGGAGCACAUCACUGUGCCUGGCUUACAUUUUGUUAUUCAAGCAUGUAAAAGACUAUAAAAUGUUAUUUAUACAGUUUUGGGGAGAUGAAGAGACCUCACUUAAAAAGACUUGGGGUAACUGUCCCUUCAGAUAUUAUCAUAAUUCAUUUGAAACAGUUUAACAUAAAAAAAAAAAAAAAAAAAAAUCCUGACUACUAUCUCCACUAGAGGGCACUCUUCUCCAAUUGCUGGGGGUUUAUUUAUUUAUUUAUUUUUAGGUGUGAAUGGACACAAUACCUUCAUUUUGUUUGGUUUGGUUCCUUUUUUUUAAUGUGGUGCUGAGGAUCAAACCCAGUGCCUCACAUGCAAGGCAAGUGCUCUACCACUGAGUUACAACCCCAGCCCCGAUGAUGGAGAUUUUUAAAGGCAGUUCUAAAGUUUUACUUCAAUCCACUUGGGGAACUCAAAACCUAUUUAUGUUUGCUUUCUUAUUUGUUUGGCUUUAAAUAAACUUUUUAUUUUGGAAUAAUUUUAGGUGUACAGAAAAGUUUCAAAAAUUAGUACAGAAUUCCUUUAUGCCCUUUGCCCAAUUUCCCUAAUAUUCGCUUACAUAACCUUCCUACAUUUAUCAAAAUUAAGAAAUUAGCGCUGGUACAUUACUUUUAACUAAACCACAGGUUUUGUUUGGAUUUCACCAGUUUUUCCACUAAUGUUCUUUUUUCUAUUCUAGGCUACAAUCCAGGACACCAUAUUGUAUUUAGUAAUUUUUUUAAAUAAACAAAUAUACACUAACUGUAAUAAUCAUAAAUUACCAUUUACAUUUUGCAUGAAUACCUGUAUUUUCCCAGAAAGGUGAAGGUUAGUAUUUUUAUUUAAUUUCUCUUAUUAGCCACCAGGUGCAGUGGUGCACACCUGUGAUCUCCACAACUCAGAAGGAUGAGGAGGCUAGCCUCAGCAACUUAGUGAGACCCUCACUAAUGUAAUAAGACUCUGUCUCAAAAUUAAAAAAUAAAAAAGACUGGGGAUGUAGUUCAGUGGUAAAGCACCCCUGAGUUCAACCCCCAGUGGAUAAAUAAAUCAUUUCUCUAUUUCCAUGACCUUUGUAAGUUAUUGAACUUUUUCAACCCCUACUUUACAUCAUCCGCAUUUCUGUUUUUUUGUGGUGCUGUGGAAACACCAUUUAUGUUCAGUUUAUGUUCCUGCAGCAGAUGUCAGCAAAAGAGUAAUGCUAGCUGGGGGUGUAGCUCAGUGGUAAUAAGCAUGUGCUUAUUAACAUCUAUGAGACCCUAGUUUCAUCCACAACAUCCCACCCCUCAAAAAAGGUGAAUGCUGGGGCUGGGGUUGUGGCUCAGCGGUAGAGCGCUCACCUAGCACCUGCAAGGCCCUGGAUUCCAUCCUCAGCACCACAUAAAAUAAAUAAAUAAAAUAAAGAUACUGUGUCCAACUACAACUAAAAAAUAAAUUUAAAAAAAAAAGUGAAUGCUAAGGAAUUGCCACUGGUUUUGCUAGAUAUAAUCACAGCAUUAUGCUUAGAACUUUUAAAAAUGAGUCUUUAUCUAUGAGAUACAUUCUAGAGUAGUUACAAAUGAAAUUAUUUACUUUAAAAUACUUUAGCAAAUGAAAAGAUUUGGGCACUAGAUCAAAUAAAAUGGAUUUAUCCAUUAGUGUUCAUUAGAUUACUCUUUUACUUUUCUGUGUGAUUGAAAGAAGCUGUUUGAAAUGAAAAUUUGAAGGAGUUGAACAGCAGAGUCUUUGUUUUCAUGUGACAAUGACCCCAGAUCUUGUGCACAGUUCAUAUUGGCAGCUAGUAAGGUUAACAGAUAUUUCACAGAUCAGCCUAACACGUCUGCAGUCCCCAGCUCUGUGUCAGAAAUACAGGGCUCCCAGGCUGCACAGGCGCGCUGGAAGAGGGAGCGCUGACCUUGGUGCCCGUGCUCCAGGAACUUGAGUCAGACAUACUUGAGGCUUGGAGUAGAACCAACCCUGCAGUAAAUGCUGAUUAAAACUGAAUCUUGGCUGGUAGCAAACACCCCGUAUUUCAAGGUGGGGAUUUUAUUUGCAUCUCUCUUUCUUAGUUUUAUGGGUUUGUGUUGAAUCAUCUCAGCCAUGUGGUUAGCUUUAUUAUUAUUAUUACUGUCCCUAAUAACACUAAUUUAUAGUAAUAUUAAUUUAAAAAUCUCUACAGUCAUUUUUCCCAGGGCCUGCAACCCUUUUUAGUAAUCGUGAUUAUUCUUUUGAUCAUUUAACUAACCUGUCACUGCUAAUAACUGCUGCUUUUCUGCUUGCUGAAAUUGGCUGUCCCUUUGCCUCUAAACCAUCUGAGGGUCUGUCUCCUGGCUCCCUGAGCAGAUGGGCUGGCACUGAGCUCUGCUCUGCUGUGCUGUGUGAUGAUAGCAAAAUCAGUCCAACAUUUUUCUGUCUCUCUUUUUAUCCUGCAGCAGAAGUAUUGGGAGGCCCUAAACUCGGAGCAGGUAUGGACAAUCAUGCUGUCUCUCUCUUCCAGGAGGGACUUCUAUGGCUUGAUUUCAGCUUUUGUUUUUGUUAGAGGCUCUCGGAUGAUGGCACAUGACAAAAUCCAUUAAAAAAAAAAAAAAGAUGUAAAAAGCAAGAGACAAGUUUGAGGACUAGCCGGGCUCUCUUAGUUCAGAGUCUUUUGCUUUGGGGGUAUUCACAUAAGCCCAUACUAUCCACUAGGGACUCAGAAAACAGGCAUAACCCAGUGAAGAUCCAUGGAUUGGAACAGGGCCUGCCUAUGAGCAAGCGAGAGUUGCCGUAGGUCACCAAUGGUAGUGCUGGUGUGACAUGGCUGCAGCAGCUGAUAUGAUAAACAGUUCCACACAUUUGUCUUUCUGAGACCUGGGGCACCUGGUUGCUGUCACCAUGCCAUCUUUGCCUCGCAGUAGCAGAUGAGCACGUGUUUUAUGACAACUGCCUGUGCCUGUCAUCUCCCAGGAUGGUUUCUGAGAGGAGAAUAAAUGCAUUAUCUUUUGUUCAAAUUAUUUUUAUGACUGGUUUCCCACAAUAUUUUUAUUACUUAAAGUGAAGUUUUAACUGGGCACAGUGGCACUACCUUUAAUCGCAGUUACUUGGAAGUCUGAAGCAGGAGGCUCACAAGUUCAAGUCCAAUCUCAGCAAUUUAGCAAGACCCUGUCUCAAAAUAAAAAAAUAAAUAAAUAGGGCUGGGGAUAUAGCCCAAUGGUAGAACAUUUGCCUAGCAUGUAUGAGGCCCUGGAUUCAAUCCCGAGUACCAUGCGGGAGAAAAUGAAGUUGGUUUUUUGUUUGUUUGUGUUUCCUUCCUUCUUUUCUUCUUCUUUUUUUUUUUGUACCAGAGAUUGAACCCAGGGGCAUUCAACCACUGAGCCACAUCCCCAGCCCAUUUUAUUUUUUAUUUUGAGAGAGGGUCUUGUCAAAUUGCUGAGUGUGGCUUUGAACUUGUGAUUUUCCUACUUCAGCCUCCAAGCCCCUGAGAUUACAUAUGUGGCAAUAAAUGAAGUUUUAAAACAUAUUAUUCAAAAGAAAGGGAUUUAAAAUAUUGUCUAAUACCUAGUUCAUUUCAAAGAGUUCACUUGAUCAAAGUGGCAGGUUGUUUCUGUUUGCGAGCAGCUGAUUUGGUCAGGAUUAGCAAGAAUAACUUUUAAGAAGUCAUUUCAGCAGUUGGAGCCAUAGUUCUCAAACAUCAGAGCAUCUAAGAAAUAUCAUAGGAACUUGUUAAAAUGCCAAACCGCAGGUAGGAGCUGAGGUGAGUCCUCAGCAUCAGUCUUUUUGAACAGUAGCCCAGGUCCUUCUGGUGGGGUUGGUCCAGAGUACCUUCUGAGAACUCUGAUGUAGGACCCAGGCUUCAGCUCCAAAACAGCCUUCAUCAGAGAGCACACUUCCAUCCUCUGAGAAUGGAAUGGGCCCAUACUUGUGCCACUGGGCAAGUGGGUCACAGAGGCUGGCCAGCGAGCUCUUUUACUUGGAAUCUUUGAUAACAUCAGGGAAGAAUUUACUUAAAGGUGUCCAGCCAAGUCUAUAACCACAAGUAAAUAAGGAGUUCACACCAGGAGUGGCUGUUACAGCGGGCAGAACUGCAUCAACUAAUCCAGCUCAUCCCCAGGCCUAUAGGGUCACUGGGGUCUUUUUAACAUGAUGGCUUUUUAAAUCAUCAAGUAAUAGAAGUUGGUUGAAUUAUUAUCAGUGAAUUUCUAAUUGAACCAGCUUUUCUUUUCAAAACAGAGACAUAAUGUGUGUUUUAUAACUGGCAUGACAUGGAUGUUAUUUGGGAGACCUUAUUUGGGACCUCUAAGAACUAGACUGUUUGAUUCAGCUCAAGUUUGAACAUCUGGCAGAGUGUCUUUGUCAGACAUAAAUCUGGGGUCUAUGACCUCUGUCCAAAUACAUAAUCCAGCCUAGUCUGCCACAUUUUCCAUCACUGUUGCUUGUUUCUGUGUUUCCCAGUACUGUCAAAUGUGACCUCAUGGCUCAAAAUCAUCAGUCAUAGAGGCUCAGAAAUGGAAGAGGUCUUAUUAUCUAAUUGUUGAUCCAACCCUCAGCUUAUGUACAGAGAAACUGAGGCCCAAAGAAGAGCAAGCAAGUUUGUGACAGAAGGAAGACUUGGCCCAGUCCCCACUUGCCUCUGGAGCUGUAACAUCAAGGGUAGCACUAAGAAUCCCUUGGGUCUUGACCAUGUGCAAAGUUCUCUCUCUAAUCCAUCAUCUGCAAAUACCUUCAUAAAGGCUAUGUUCCAGCUUUUUUUUUUUAACUUUUUACCCUUACCCUUGAAAAUUUCAAUUUUCCAUACUUAUCUGAGUCAGAUUAUGAAAUAUUAACUGGCAGUGCCCACCAUUCUGAAUUGGGUUUUAAGUGUUUAUUUUUUCAGUGCCAGGGAUUGAACCUGGGGGCACUUAAACCACUGAGCCACAUCCCCAACCCUUUUAUUUUUUGAGACAGGGUCUUGCUAAGUCUCUUAGGGCCUUGCUAAGUUGCUGAGGCUGGGUUUGAACUCAUAAUCCUCUUGCCUCAGCCUCCCAAGCUGCUGGGAUUGCAGACAUGCACUUAUACCAGGCACAGUGCCUGAAGUGUUUAUUUUUAACAAAUCUUCUGGACCUCAAAUUGAGAGGAAACACCAAGUGAGAGCCCUGCUCUUCAGGAGUUCAUCAUCUCCCUAAGAGAACAAGGCAGAUGUCCAAAGAAAGACUGAGGCCAUCCAUGUGCAGGUACGGAUGAGUAGCAGAUGUAAUACUAAGAAAGGAGCAGGUGCAAGCUCACUGGGCUAACACAGCCAAGGCAGGCUUCCUGCCAGAGGAGGUAUUUCCUCUCAAGAGUGGGUUGAGGCCAGGUAUGGUGGCACUUGCCUCAAUCCCAGCUACUCAGGAGGCUGAGGUGGGAGGAUGAAAAGUUCUAGGCCAUCCCAGGCAACUUAGCAAGACCUUGUCUCAAAAUAAAAUACAUAAAAUAAAAAGAGGGGCUAUAGGUCACCAGCAGAAUGCUUGCCUAGUACACAUGAGGCCCUAGGUUCAAUUCUUAGCAUCACCAAAAAACCAAAGAAUGGGUUUUUAUUGGUCUUUUCCAAGAAUGAAUUAGGCAUGGAGGUAGACAUUUUCAAGAUAAAGGGAUCGUGUCUCAGACUCACUAGAUAAGAAUUUGCUGAAUAUGGGGGACAGUAGAAAGGAGGUGGCAAGGGAAAUGGGGCUGGUCUGUUCAGGGUAAUGGUUCAUUAAUUCCUUGAUUUAAAGGUGUACUUGCUCCCUUUAGGUGCAGGAAACAGAGGCCUGGUUAACUUGACCUCGCCCAGUUGUCCUUAUCUUUGCCUGUGUCAGAACUAAGAUUGAGUUGUUGUUUAGGGUGCGGGAUAGUAAUAGAUUGAAAGGACCUGUCCCACCAAAAUAUCUUUGUGUCUUUUCUUCACAGUGGGAUCCUGAAGAUGUCAAUUUUGAAAGGAACAAUGACAACAUGGAGACCUUCAGAUUCCAGGUGCCGAGGGGCUCUUCGACGACAGUAGACUUCAGCUCUGCUGAUUAGUAUCUUCUAAAAACCAGUCCAUCAGCUCAAAGACUAGGAUGAGGCAUUCAUCAGUAAAACUGAGCAGAGAUCGGACCUACAGUGACACCCAUAGCAGGGAUUUAAGCCACUGAAGAAGCUGCCCAGGGAAGUGAGGAACCUGGAGCUGAGCGUGGCUGGUUUACCUGGCUCCGAAUAAAUCUAAGAUUGUGGGUUCUAUGGACAGACCUGGAUAUGCCAUUUGUUCUGAAGAUUAGAAGCUCACAGAUGGCUCCUGCUUUGUAAAGAUAAGCCUUCAUCCAAAGGACAAUGGGCCCUCUUUUCCCGUCUUUCCUUUCCCUCUAUUCCCAUGAAAUGCAACUGUAAACUCAGUAUCUGCUGGAUGCCAGGAAUGAGUUCACCUAACAAAUAGCUCAUGUGUUUGGACCUCAGCAGAGCCUGUCCUGCAAGCCCUGGCUUCUGCCCUCCAGUAUCUGCUGGAAGUUAUCCAUAGGACUGCUUGGUCAACCAAGUAUCUGUGAGAUCAGUGGUAUGGCAAGCACAAGCAAAAAAACAAAAGAAUGGGUUUUUAUUGGUCUUUUCGAAGAAUGAAAAGCAAGAGAACUUCCUCCAGCCUGGCAACGCGUGUGCGGAGGCAGGGUUUACAGGUGAGGGGCACUGUGUGCUUUAGGAGGUCACUGAGAGCAUACAGAGGGUAAUAGGUAUGCUGGGACAUGUUAAUUCAAGCACAGUAACCCCAUUUGAAGAUGAAUGGUAGUGUGACCACAUGUGAGGGGAAAGGUGAAGGGAAUGGGGCUAAGGUCGGAACCACUAGAGUGAAUAAAAUUUAACUGAGUGAAUCAAAGCAUCUCACACUGGAAUAUAGUGGUAAGUCAGAAUCCCAGCAGAGCCACAGAAGUCUGCCAUGAGGGGGUCUGGGAUAAAUGCCAAGAAACACAGCUCUGCUGAUGGCUGGCUCACAGUGACCUGUGACUCAGCUGCAGCUGCCCAGUUUCUCCUAAGGGCAUGUGCAAGUCCCGGCAGCAGGAGGAAGGGGGUGCUGGGAAAGUGGGUUGGUUCCACAGGUCUCUGCAUAGAUCCUAAUCCCCUGGGUGACCUCUGAACUAGCAGAAAACUCAAAGCUACUUUAUUUAUUCCAUUUAUCUGCUUUGGGUUCCUGGUUGUCUUAUCAAAGAACGAUUGCUAAAGGCAACUUUGUUUUGUGGGGUCUUAGCCAAUGUAGCUAUACUUUGAAGGAGGAGGAAGAGGUGAAUAGAGGCCCAAAGCAAAGGAAGUUGAAGGGAACAUGCCAGUAAGUGAAAUGGUAGAAGCCUGGGGGCAGGGAAGGGUGGAAUCUAGUUGAUGGUGCAGUGUGGAUUGUAGAGGGUAGAAGACACUGGAAAGGAACUGGAGCAUGGAGGCUAGGGAGUGGGUGCUUCAGUCUGUGGCUGAUGCUAGCCAUGGAAGAUACCAAAGGGUGACUCACUUGCUCAGGGGCUCAGAUACUCAAGUGAGUUUUUUACUUCUAUUGCCACAGCUUUUCAGGAAACAGAAAUGUAUAGUCAUGUAUGGAGUGAACAUGGGGAACGUGUUUCAUUUAAAGACUAUUGAGUGGUAACCGCAAGCAGGAGGAGGGAUCAGCUUUAGAAAAGCAGAAGGCAUAGGGAUAGGAUGACAUUUCUGAAGUUCACGUUUAGCAUGUGCACACACACUCACAAACAUUUUCUCAAAGGGAGAUUGGAUCAUGCUCCCUGGGGUAUCAGAAUCCCUUGAGUCCUCAUAGGAAUGGCCAUUCUCAAGAACACUAAAUGAUCUUGCUGCCUUGGAGUAGCACAAACUAUUUCAGCUCCAGAUGUUAUUUAUCUCCCUAUAUCCUAUCAUCCCAGUCUUUUCCCUUCACAAACCAGUUACUAUCAUUAUGGUCCCAGAUUGUCUCAAGUCUCUUCAUCCACAGUAAACCACCCUGGGAGUUUAGGAAGUAAAGUUUGGCUUUAUUGUUUAGUGAGAACCUGCCUGUAUGCAAAGCUCUAGAACCCCAGGACCUUUGUAAAGAGGUACCAACCAAAACGACUUUCUCCUAGUAGGAGAGCAGCUUCAUUUUUAGCUAUUACUCUGGCCACAAAGACUAUGGAAGGUCCUUGCCCUGAGGACCCACUAAGCAGUGCAAAGAAUUACCUCCAUUGGAAGGGCUGGGAACAAACCAUGCAACCAUCCUAUCCAGAGAAGAGAUGGUGUAAUAUGUCUUAAUUGUCUUACCUAUUAUCUACAUGGCCCAAAGCAUGUUACCUAACCUUUGUGAACUCUUAAGGCAGACUAGGAAACCUCCCUAGAAAGCUUAAGGUAAUGACUAAGUGAAUUAACAUAAAUGAAGUGCCUUAUACCUGACUAACAGCAGAUUUUGAAGAGUGAUUAGUUUCCCUCCUCCCUAUAUUUUUGGACACAUGUGCUGAAAGACAGUGAAACCAAAGAAUCAGAUCCACAGAUGGAAGGGAUUUCAGAGAUUUGGAUCUCCUUAAGAAUAACCACAAUAAGUGAUUAUCCAGCCCCUGCUUAAACUCAUCUAAAGAAAACAAAAACAGAGAUUUCAUCUGCCAAAGAAGUUUGUAUAACUUAGGGAGAGUUCUGAUGACUCUAAUUUUCUAAAGAGCCUGUAUAGAGCCUGAAGAACUAGUUUUCUUAUGUCCCUCUGAUAAUUCAGUAAAUGCAUCAUCUGAUGAUAUAUUCACAUCAUGUUUGUUACAGUAGACAUGAGCUAUAGUUUAAGGAGAGGCAUUGGGCCAAGGAGUAUGAUGAGGCUCCAUUUCCCAGGUCUGAUUCAGUGUAAUAUUUGUCAUUUCCCUUUCUGGGUCAGUCUCCUCAUUUAUAAAAUGAAAGCUAGGUUAGAUUUAUUUCCUUUUUUCUUUUUUUGUGAAUAUGCCAGUUAGUAUGUUUCCCACAGACAAAUGGACAUUUUUAUAAACGCUCAGAAAAGAAACAUAAUGUUAAAGACAAAUUUCAGAUAUGCCUUGAAGAUAUCCAUUUAAGAUGAAUACUGGUGCUGGGGUAUGUGAUUGGCAUGUGCAAGGCCCUGGGUUCCACCCUCAAAACACACACACACACACACACAUACAUACACACGCACUCCAUUACCAUACUUCCCAAAUUCUCUGCACUCCUUUUUCUGCCCUUUACCAUUCUCCUUCAAAUUUUCCAACUAUGCAGGCACUGACCUAUUCUCUUCGACUUUGUUUUUUCUGAAGUUAAGGUCAAUGCCCUGGCAGAGGUGGCUGUUUUGAAUGAACCCAAGCUAUACUGCAGUGCCCAGGAAGAACUCUUCAAGAAGUUUACAUAUGCCUCUCCUAGUAUUCAAGAGUCAUCAUGUGAGAGGGACGAUCUUAAGAAGUUCAAGAACGAUACUAGAUAAAAUUACUUAGAAGUCUAAUCUGCUUUUUCUUGAUACCUAACCUUAAAGCCAAACAAACCAUGGGACAUUCGGGACUGCUCCUUUCCAGCAGGGCAAGUCAUUAACCAGCGUUAAGUUUCAAGAACCUCCGUUGAUUGAUUGCCUGGAGAAUUCGGCACGCCCUCCCAAUUCCCUUGGGCAUUUUCCAUCAGCGCUGGGUACUGGCAGGAGGCUCAGGUCUCCUCUUGCUAGUCCUCACUCAGGGUCUGCAGCUAUGACGGCUGAGGGGUCUGUCUCCUGCAGAGCGCCUUCUCUCGGCAGUCCCCAGGGGGAUCGUUCACAACCGCCUGAGGGCCAGUCGAUGGCCUCCCCAAAAGAAGGGUGGUGGCCCAUUGUCCAUAUGAGUGGAAACUGAACCACGUCUCCCCACGCCUACCUCUUGGGAGAACCGGCCAUCGGCAGAUAGCAGGUAGCCCAUUCAAACCACUCACCUCGUACUUCCGGGAAGAGGGGAAGAGGCGCAGCCCUGCGCCUGCGCACUCCGCAGCCACCGUCUCCCCCUGGGAGUGCGAGUCCCGCCCCCGCGGAGUCCGCCGCUUUCGGGCUCCGGCCCGCGCAGCCGCGGCCCGGGAGACCACCAGCGGCUGGUAGUUGCUGUCAGUCUGUCUCCUCUGAGUUUUUAGGGAGUUAGUCACAUAGUCAUUUUUUUGGUUCCUAGUGUAGUUAGGACCAAUCAACAGACUUAGCCUGCACUGUAAACCAUUCUUUAAGUACACUAAAAAAAUUUUUGAAAUAAAUAUAAUACAGGUGCGUGGUUUAAAAAAGAAAAUCAGAUCCGACCAAGUUUAUGAAGAACAACAAUUCCCUGGCCCUCCGUUCCCAACCUGCUUACUUCUUUCCUUCCUCGCAAUCACACUUGCUCAUGUUCCCAAAGUGUUUUGUCCAACUGUCUUCUCCAUUGAUUUUUUGUUUUGUUUGUUUUGCUGGUGUGAAACCCUGGGCCUCACACAAGCACAUAGGGCUCUAUUAGUUUUGAAUUGGAACCCAGCUGCUGUCAACAAAGUUCUAAGAUUAUAGUUUUUUAGCUAAAUUAUCUCUAACUUCCAUUAACUACAGGCUAAUGAGGUUCAGUAGGUGGGACAGGGAUACUGGCAUGUUGAGAAUGGUGUUAAGAACUGUCUACACAUCUGCAGGUUACUGCGGAGUCCUCUGUACCACUAGAACCCAGUUUCUGAGUCCCAGGUUACUGGAUCUGAGCCCACUCCAACUGACAUCUGCCUUCAGGACAGCCUGGCAAGUUCUACCUAUCUACUCUGGAUUUGACCUUUCCCUCUAUCCCUCUACCUCUUCUCCUGCAGAUAUCUUAGCCCUUGGAAUCUCCUGUGGAAAACAGGGUUUUCUAACCCCACCACCAGAACAAAGGACUGUGUACACUUUCACCACCACAGUCUUUCCCAAGGACAGCCUGGCCACGUGUGAAGAGAGCCAUUUCAUAGGCCUAAUGUUUUAACCAUCACACUUUGUGAAAUGUGUACCCUAAAGCUCUGAUAUUCAAAUAUAGGUUCUUAAGCUCCAGCCUAGGUCUGGACAGGGCCUGGGAAUCUUAAGCUCCUCAAGUGAUUCUGUCACAGAGGAUAGAGGACCACUCUUUGAGAAACACUGUCCUUAGGAAAUCAAUUUAAAACUGAUCUAUUUGUGUAAGAAGAUGUUCCCAUGAAACUACUUAAAAUAGGGGGGGAAAGUGAUAAGUACCCCAUGAUUGGGAAACAUUAAACAUUACACCUUUAUUUUUUUGUGUGUGCAGUAUUGAACCCAGGAUUGAACCCAGGGGCUCUCUGGGCUAAGUUACAUCCCUAGCCCUUUUAAUUUUUUGAGACAAGUUCUCUAUAAGUGGCCUGGCUGACCUCAAACUUGUAAUCGUCUUGCUUCCCAAGUAGUUGAGAUUACGUAUGUGAGAUAUCAUGUUCAACUAAAUAGAAUAAUUUAAUGAAAUUACAUUUUGCCUUGAAGUCUAAAAGAUUGUGGGACAAUAAACUGAGGCACAUACCUGAAUUGCCUUGAAAUUAUUUGGUGCGAUGCCAGAGUGCAAGUUAUUCUGAUAAUGAAUUUCUAGUUCUCACAUGGUGAAAAAAAAUCCUUUUUUAAAAAAAAAUUUUUAUUGUGGUGGUGGUUAUAAAGUUGUAUGUAUGUUUGAGCUUCUGAGGAGGCAGGAUUGAGACACUGAAAGGCUGAACCAACUCCGCGUGAGCAGAGUGGCAGAGGAUGUUUUUGAUAGCACCCCUAACCAGGAAACAGAUUCCUGUGGGCAAGCAGUGACUCACCCCCCAGUCUCAGUGAGUCAACAGUGUCCUAAGGGAGCCAGGGCUGGCAGCCUUCUGCUGCAAGGGAUGUAAGCAGGGCCUAGACUUAGUCCAGGAUAUCAGUGUGACAGAUCAGGGGUGACAGAACAGAUCCCAAGGAGUGGAAAGGGAGCUGAAUCCUUUGAAUGGGUCAGGUUAAAAAAAAAAAAAAACUACAGAAUAAAGCAAGUUAAAAAAGAGAGAAAGAGAGAGAGAACACAAGCCAGGGCAGUGGAGCAUGCCUAUAAUCCCAGCAGCUUGGAGGCUGAGGUAGGAGAAUCUCAAGUUCAAAGCCAGAGUCAGCAAUUUUUGGACGCCCUAAAGCAACUUAGCAAGACCCUGUCUCAAAAUAAAAAAUAAAUCAAAAGGAUUGGGAAUGUUGCUCAAUGGUUAAGCACCCCUGGGUUCAAUCCCCAGUACCCACUCCCCCUAUAAAAGAUAGAACACAAGAGAGCAUGUGCCAUUAUUAGUAAUUACAAGAGAAAAUUCAUUAGUAUCAGAAAUCAUUAGAUUCCAUGAUAGAUUAUGUGGAAGUUGGUAUAGUGGCACACACCUGUGAUCUCAGUGACUUGGGAGGCUGAAGCAGAAGGACCACAAGUUCAAAGAUAGCCUCAGCAAUUUAAGGAGGCCCUAAGCAACUUUGUGAGACCCUGUCUCUAAAUAAAAUAUUUUUAAAAGGGGUAAGAAUGUGGCUCAGUGGUUAAACAGCCCUGUGUUCAAUCCCCAGUAUCCCCGCCCCCCAAAAAAAAUUAAGGAAGGGGGCAGAAUUUUUCCAGAGUUCUUAUUCUGAAUAAGAAAAAGGGCAUUUGAAAAACAGCUGGGGUAGGGAUGGGAGACAGUGUUGGAGAUAGAUUUAAGUGGCAGAGGGCUUGCCAAUCAUGUACAAGGCCCUGGGUCCAAUCCCUGGCACCAAAAUUAAAAAGAAAAAUAGCCAGGCACGAUGGUGCAGAUUCAUGGUCCCAGCUACUGGAAGGACUGACACAGAAGGAUCACUUGAGCCCAGGAGUUUGAAACAAGCUCAGUCAAACCCUGUCCUUAAGUGUGUGUGUGUGUGUGUGUAAGUAUAUAUAAAAAAUAUAUAAAUAUAUAAUUUUUUCAGGUUUAUGUGGA
Molecule: long non-coding RNA, 21961 nt
Filed under: Marmota monax (woodchuck)
Lineage: Eukaryota; Metazoa; Chordata; Mammalia; Rodentia; Sciuridae
Source: RNAcentral